RNAcentral lists this transfer RNA (63 nucleotides) under Monochamus sparsutus. RNAcentral describes it as "tRNA-Pro". Lineage: Eukaryota; Metazoa; Arthropoda; Insecta; Coleoptera; Cerambycidae. The record is from RNAcentral.
UUCAAGAAAUAGUUUAAUAAAAUAUUAAUUUUGGAGAUUAAAGAUAAGAAAAUUUCUUUUUCU